AACGAACGCUGGCGGCGUGCCUAACACAUGCAAGUCGAGCGCGAAAGUCCCUUCGGGGGCGAGUAGAGCGGCGGACGGGUGAGUAGUACAUGGAUAAUCUGCCCUCGAGAUCGGGAUAACCCUGCGAAAGUGGGGCUAAUACCGAAUAAGACCACACAACACAAGUUGUGUGGUAAAAGGUGGCUUGAAUUUAUUCUGGCUAUCACUUGAGGAUGAGUCCAUGGCCUAUCAGCUUGUUGGUGGGAUAAUGGCCUACCAAGGCUAUGACAGGUAGCUGGUCUGAGAGGACGACCAGCCACACUGGGACUGAGACACGGCCCAGACUCCUACGGGAGGCAGCAGUGGGGAAUAUUGGGCAAUGGGCGAAAGCCUGACCCAGCGACGCCGCGUGGGUGAUGAAGGCCUUCGGUUGUAAACGUGCUUUUGUUACGGUAACGGAAAAGAACGUACUUUCUUAACUAAAGAAGGGUACCGAUGACGGUACCGUAAGAAUAAGACACCGGCUAACUACGUAGCCACG
This 520-nucleotide ribosomal RNA is filed under the name uncultured bacterium. RNAcentral describes it as "bacterial SSU rRNA". It matches the Rfam family "Bacterial small subunit ribosomal RNA", at positions 29 to 519 of the family's 1533-position model. The record is from RNAcentral.